GGCCAGGCUGUGAGGCUGAUGACACUAGAUGGUAGAAGAAGGGUAAUGCUCAACCGGGAGACCACUGCAUUUUUGGUUGUGUUCAGCCAGCUGGAAAACAAAUCUACACUUUACUGCAUUAGACAACCUUUGUGGAAAAGACAGAAACAUUUCUGGUAUGAGACUUUCCUCACCAAAGAAAACCCAGCAAGGAAUUCUGCAACCAAGCAAGAAUCCCAAUCAACUUUCCAUUCUUCAAAACCAGUGCCCUUUAUUCUUCAACUGCUUUCAUCCAAAAUCUCCUAUGAACUCCAGCAAUGAGACUGCAAGUUCAACUGGACACAAUGCCAUUCAUGUGCAACCACUGAACUCCAGCCUUUCUAGCGCUUAAUGCAGCAAUUACAAAAGCCUCAUGAACACACUGGUGUUACAAGACAGGACAAGGACUUCAAAAGGGGGAAACAUUUGGAAAGAUUUCAAUAUCUCUUCUGUACAUUUACAGAAUGACCUUAAAGUGUGUUUUGUUUCCUGCAUUUAUUUUAUUCUUCACUGUUAAUGAAAAUUACACAUACUUAAGUUGUUCUUUAAGUGAAAAAAGAACAGAUGUAAAAAUAAUUUAUGUGACCUUGGCAUAGCAAUCUCUGAGUUUUCUUGAAAACUUUACUUUCAUAAGAAAGGCCUAAUAAUUUUU
RNAcentral lists this long non-coding RNA (670 nucleotides) under Coturnix japonica (Japanese quail). RNAcentral's name for it is "lncRNA (ENSCJPG00005001213.1)". The record is from RNAcentral. Lineage: Eukaryota; Metazoa; Chordata; Aves; Galliformes; Phasianidae.